CAAUAGCGUAUAUUUAAGUUGUUGCAGCUAAAAAGCUCGUAGUUGGAUUUCGGAUGGGAUUUGCCGGUCCGUCGUUACGAUGUGCACUGGCCAGUCCUAUCUUGUUGUCGGGGACUAGCUCCUUGGAUUCACUUCCUGGGACUAGGAGCUGACGAGGUUACUUUGAGUAAAUUAGAGUGUUCAAAGCAAGCCUACGCUCUGAAUACAUUAGCAUGGAAUAACACGAUAGGACUCUGGCUUAUCUUGUUGGUCUGUGAGACCAGAGUAAUGAUUAAGAGGGACAGUCGGGGACAUUCGUAUUUCAUUGUCAGAGGUGAAAUUCUUGGAUUUAUGAAAGACGAACUUCUGCGAAAGCAUUUGUCAAGGAUGUUUUCAUUAA
This 379-nucleotide ribosomal RNA is filed under the name uncultured eukaryote. RNAcentral describes it as "partial 18S ribosomal RNA". It matches the Rfam family "Eukaryotic small subunit ribosomal RNA", at positions 592 to 976 of the family's 1831-position model. The record is from RNAcentral.